GUCCUGACAGAUCUGUAAGAUCAACAGUUACCUGGUUAGCAUGGCAUUUCUAAAUGAAAGAAAUCCUGCUCUGAUUCUCUGGUUGAAUCUUUCCAGCAGUUUGUUUCUUUAACACACUCACUCCCACUCACUUUGAC
This is a long non-coding RNA of Etheostoma spectabile (orangethroat darter), 137 nucleotides long. RefSeq lists it as uncharacterized. The transcript has 3 exons. The record is from RefSeq and is a predicted model, not a curated record. NCBI's taxonomy places the organism in Eukaryota, Metazoa, Chordata, Actinopteri, Perciformes, Percidae.